RNAcentral lists this ribosomal RNA (460 nucleotides) under uncultured bacterium. RNAcentral's name for it is "partial 16S ribosomal RNA". It matches the Rfam family "Bacterial small subunit ribosomal RNA", at positions 338 to 795 of the family's 1533-position model. The record is from RNAcentral.
CCUACGGGAGGCAGCAGUGAGGAAUAUUGGUCAAUGGACGAGAGUCUGAACCAGCCAAGUAGCGUGAAGGAUGACUGCCCUAUGGGUUGUAAACUUCUUUUAUAAAGGAAUAAAACGAGGCACGUGUGCCUUUUUGCAUGUACUUUAUGAAUAAGGAUCGGCUAACUCCGUGCCAGCAGCCGCGGUAAUACGGAGGAUCCGAGCGUUAUCCGGAUUUAUUGGGGUUAAAGGGAGCGUAGAUGGGUUGUUAAGUCAGUUGUGAAAGUUUGCGGCUCAACCGUAAAAUUGCAAUUGAUACUGGCAGUCGUGAGUACAGUUGAGGUAGGCGGAAUUCGUGGUGUAGCGGUGAAAUGCUUAGAUAUCACGAAGAACCCCGAUUGCGAAGGCAGCUUACUAAACUGUGACUGACAUUGAUGCUCGAAAGUGUGGGUAUCAAACAGGAUUAGAUACCCUAGUAGUC